Molecule: long non-coding RNA, 3350 nt
Filed under: Mus musculus (house mouse)
Lineage: Eukaryota; Metazoa; Chordata; Mammalia; Rodentia; Muridae
Description: predicted readthrough transcript (NMD candidate), 44505 (Gm44505)
Source: RNAcentral
AUUUUUUCAGAGACUUUCAUCCGGCAACGGACAGGGCCUUUUUUUUCUUAAAGGAGAAGCUGCAACUCAAAUAAUUUACCACUUCUCCCCUCGAGAGCUGGCGGCGCUGGGGACAGAAAGGCCAGAGCAGGAAGGUGGGGGUCUGGGUGGAGGCGGGAUAACGUCCAGGCUACUUCUUAGGCUAGUAAGAACCCUUGAGGGGACAGCGGCGCCUCCGGGAGGCAGGUGCGCGCGCAGCCGGCAGGGGGGUGCGCGCGCGGCUGAGAACGGUGCGUUUUGUCCUCGCCUCCGCCCUCGCCAGCCCUGCCCCUCCCACCGCCCCUAGCUUGAGCCGAACUCCAAAGUGGGGGGGGAGAAAGGUCACUUUGGGAUUGUCGCGAGACGCAGCCGUUUAACGGUGAGAACGGGCGCGCGGGCAAGGAAACCUCGCGCUCUCCCUCGGAGCCGUUUCCUGAUUGGUUGGAGGAAGGGGUGGGGGAGGGCACCGAGUGCGCUGCUGCGUGUGAGACCGCGAGGGGCCGGGCCAGGGGGGCCGAUCCUCCCCUCCGAUUGGCCCGCUGCGUGUCCGUCCGGGUGCGCGCGUGCGCGCCGCCGGCGGUCGCUGGCUUGAGUGGCAGGGGGCGGGUGGGGGGGGGCGCCCUCGGAACGGGCGGAGGGGCGGGGGGGAGAGAGGCGCUCCGGAGUGAGGGAGCCGGACGCUCCGGGAGCCGAGGGGGGCGGGGGGAGCUGCGCCGCGGGCGCCGCCGCCUCCACCGCCUGGGACGCAGGGGUGGGGGACGGACGAGCCCCGAUGCCGGGGGAGACGGAGGAGCCGCGAUCCCCGGAGCAGCAGGACCAGGAAGGGGGCCCAGCAGCGGCGGCCGACGCGGCUUCGGAGGAGCUCCGGCCCGGCGCGGCGGCGGCGCCGGCGGCGCCUGCAGAGACCGCGAGCAGCCGCGUGCUGAGGGGAGGUCGGGACCGCGGCCGGACCGCUGCGGCCGCCGCCGCCGCCGCUGCCGCUGUGUCCCGCCGGAGAAAGGCCGAGUAUCCCCGCCGGCGGAGGAGCAGCCCCAGCAACAGGCCUCCCGACGGCCCAGGGCAUCAGCCCGCGGCCGCGAAGCCCCCGUCUCCUGCUCAGGGCAAGAAGAGUCCGCGACUCCAGUGUAUAGAAAAACUAACAACUGAUAAAGAUCCCAAGGAAGAGAAAGAAGAUGAUUCUGUCCUCCCUCAGGAAGUUUCCAUUACUACAACUAGAGCUAGCCGGAGCUGGCGCAGUAGUAGCAGGACCUCUAUCUCUCGCCUUCGAGACAGUGAGAAUACUCGGAGCUCUAGGUCCAAGACUGGCUCCUUGCAACUCGUCUGCAAGACAGAACCAAUUACUGAUCAACUUGAUUAUGAUGUUCCAGAAGAACAUCAGUCUCCCGGUGGCAUUAGUAGUGAUGAGGAAGAGGAGGAGGAAGAAGAAAUGUUAAUCAGUGAAGAGGAAAUACCAUUCAAAGAUGACCCAAGAGAUGAGACUUACAAGCCCCACCUUGAAAGGGAAACCCCAAAGCCACGGAGAAAAUCAGGGAAGGUGAAAGAAGAGAAAGAAAAGAAAGAAAUUAAAGUGGAAGUAGAAGUAGAGGUGAAAGAAGAAGAGAAUGAAAUUAGGGAAGAUGAGGAGCCUCCCAGGAAGAGAGGGAGAAGGCGAAAAGAUGACAAAAGUCCGCGGUUACCCAAAAGGAGAAAAAAGCCUCCAAUCCAAUAUGUCCGUUGUGAGAUGGAAGGAUGUGGAACUGUUCUUGCUCACCCUCGCUAUUUGCAGCACCACAUUAAAUACCAGCAUUUGCUGAAAAAAAAAUAUGUAUGUCCCCACCCCUCCUGUGGGCGACUCUUCAGGCUCCAGAAACAACUUCUGCGGCAUGCAAAGCAUCAUACAGACCAGAGGGAUUAUAUCUGUGAAUAUUGUGCUCGGGCCUUCAAGAGUUCCCACAAUCUGGCAGUACACCGGAUGAUUCAUACGGGCGAGAAGCCAUUACAAUGUGAGAUCUGUGGAUUUACUUGUCGACAAAAAGCAUCUCUUAAUUGGCACAUGAAGAAACAUGAUGCAGACUCCUUCUACCAGUUUUCUUGCAAUAUCUGUGGCAAAAAAUUUGAGAAGAAGGACAGUGUAGUGGCACACAAAGCAAAAAGCCACCCUGAGGUGCUGAUUGCAGAAGCUCUGGCAGCCAAUGCGGGCGCCCUCAUCACCAGCACAGAUAUCUUGGGCACUAACCCAGAGCCCCUGACACAGCCUGCAGAUGGUCAGGGGCUUCCUCUUCUUCCUGAGCCCUUGGGAAACUCAACAGCUGGAGAGUGCCUACUGCUAGAAGCUGAAGGGAUGUCAAAGUCAUACUGCAGUGGGACAGAACGGUUGAUUUAGGGGAUGGCUUUCGCAGAGCAAUCACCUCUGACCCUUCACCGCCGGGACCUCUGUAGCCGCUCUAUCUGGCUAGCAAGGAAGAUUCGUUCAGACCUGACUGCUCUUAUGGAAUCUUAUGUAAAACAUCAAGGCCUGAAUAAAAAUAUCAGCCUUGACUCAGUGGAUGGUGUACCAGUGGCAAGCACUGAUCGCUGGAGUGAGAUGACUGAGGCAGAGCGACUCCAAGAGAACCUCCAGGCUUACCGUACCUUCCAAGGGAUGUUAACCAAGCUUUUAGAAGACCAGAGAGUGCAUUUCACCCCGACUGAAGGUGACUUCCAUCAGGCAAUACAUACUCUUACGCUCCAAGUUUCUGCCUUCGCCUACCAGCUAGAGGAGUUAAUGGCGCUUCUGGAACAGAAGGUCCCUGAAAAAGAGGCUGAUGGGAUGCCUGUCACAAUUGGAGAUGGUGGCCUCUUUGAGAAGAAGCUGUGGGGCUUGAAGGUCCUUCAAGAGCUUUCACAGUGGACUGUGAGGUCUAUCCAUGACCUCCGUGUCAUUUCUUCUCAUCACAUGGGAAUCUCAGCACAUGAGAGCCAUUAUGGGGCCAAGCAAAUGUAGCUCUUAACUCUUGCCUCUGUCUCCCUCUUUGAUCUAAUGGGAUAUCAGUAGUUCCCCAGGGGCCUAGUUUUCUCAGCAUCAAUUUUGGAAAACCUUAGACCACAGGCAUAUUUCGUCAAGUAGGGUUGACCCACGUAUGAACAGAAGAUAAACAUGGUUAUUCUGGCUGUGCAUAUGUGUGUACAUGAUUUUGUUUGUAUUGGUGGUAUAAUAAAGUAUAAUUAGGGCAUUAUCCUUCCACCUUAGUGCUUUACCCUUCCUGAUACUAAAUAACCUUUCCAGGUGUUUAACAGUCUUACAGGCAGAAGAGACAUUGUGACUAGUUUUGGUUGACUUCUGAAAAGACUGAAUAAACAAAUUGGAAGUCCUA